UGCGCAGGCGGAAUAAUAAGUCAGUGGUGAAAUCUUUCGGCUCAACCGGGAAACUGCCAUUGAUACUGUUAGUCUUGAGUUCGGUUGAGGUAGGCGGAAUGUGUAAUGUAGCGGUGAAAUGCUUAGAUAUUACACAGAACACCAAUUGCGUAGGCAGCUUACUAGACCGACACUGACGCUGAGGCACGAAAGCGUGGGGAGCGAACAGGAUUAGAUACCCUGGUAGUCC
Molecule: ribosomal RNA, 229 nt
Filed under: uncultured bacterium
Lineage: Bacteria
Description: partial 16S ribosomal RNA
Rfam family: Bacterial small subunit ribosomal RNA
Source: RNAcentral